Molecule: ribosomal RNA, 492 nt
Filed under: uncultured bacterium
Lineage: Bacteria
Description: partial 16S ribosomal RNA
Rfam family: Bacterial small subunit ribosomal RNA
Source: RNAcentral
AGUGAACGCUGGCGGUAGGCCUAACACAUGCAAGUCGAGCGGCAGCACAGUAAGCGCUUGCUCUUACGGGUGGCGAGUGGCGGGCGGGUGAGGCAUACAUCGGAAUCUACUUUUUCGUGGGGGAUAACGUAGGGACACUUACGCUAAUACCGCAUACGACCUACGGGUGAAAGCAGGGGAUCUUCGGACCUUGCGCGAUUGAAUGAGCCGAUGUCGGAUUAGCUAGUUGGCGGGGUAAAGGCCCACCAAGGCAACGAUCCGUAGCUGGUCUGAGAGGAUGAUCAGCCACACUGGAACUGAGACACGGUCCAGACUCCUACGGGAGGCAGCAGUGGGGAAUAUUGGACAAUGGGCGAAAGCCUGACGCAGCAACACCGCGUGAGUGAAGAAGGCCUUCGGGUUGUAAAGCUCUGUUGUUGGGAAAGAAAAGCUGUAUAUGAAAACCCCGAUGUCUUGACGGUACCUAAAGAAUAAGCAACGGCUAACUUCGUG